RNAcentral lists this long non-coding RNA (463 nucleotides) under Equus caballus (horse). Its description in RNAcentral is "lncRNA (ENSECAG00000054456.1)". Lineage: Eukaryota; Metazoa; Chordata; Mammalia; Perissodactyla; Equidae. The record is from RNAcentral.
GUGCGCUGGGCCGGGGUGGCGCUCCCCCGCGAAGAGCGGCAGGCUCCCGUCCAGCGACGCUGGCCUCCGCACCGGAGACUUGGGAACUGGUUUAUGAGCACGUGGUUCAGGGACCCGCUUCUUACCCGUGAAGAAGUGAAGGCUUCUGGGUAAGGCUCCCUGUGCUAAGACACAGCCCCUCUUCUGUCUCUGGACCUUGCUGUGUCUGUAUGUGAUGCCUGGAACUGCUACACCCUCCGCAUUACCACACCCGGCAUGAAGCCAGGACACACUACUCAUGGUAGAGUGGAGAGAUGGAAAGAAGCUGGUUCAUGAUGACAUUGAUACAGCAAUUUAAUGUAUUACGAAAAAGUAUGUAGCAGAUCCAGCUUCAGGUGUUCCACCUGCAUCGCAGGCGAAGCCUCCCCCUUCUACUCCUGCUUUCUCCCCAUUAUCCUUUACAAGCGCUUCCCCUAAUAAAUCC